RNAcentral lists this long non-coding RNA (280 nucleotides) under Elaeis guineensis (African oil palm). RNAcentral describes it as "long non-coding RNA (EGUI_LNC049207)". Lineage: Eukaryota; Viridiplantae; Streptophyta; Magnoliopsida; Arecales; Arecaceae. The record is from RNAcentral.
CUGGCGUAGUCCAUCGCUUUCCCUUUUAACUUCUCUCUCCUUUUUCUUUUUCGAGUGGGAUUUUUUCCUCCGCUCUUGGUGGGGCUGCGGGAGUUCGGCUCCCGUAGGUGAAGCCGGGGCGAGGUCUGGCUCCCGUGGGAGUCCGAACGGGGUCUACCUGCAAUUGAAGUCAGGCAAAAUUUGGCUCCCGUAGGAGUCCGGGUGGAGCUUACCAGCGUUCGAAGUCAAGGAUGAAGCUCGGCUCCCGUAGGAGUCCGGACGGAGUUUGCCUACAGCCGAA